AGCGAACGCUGGCGGCAGGCCUAACACAUGCAAGUCGAACGAACCUUUCGGGGUUAGUGGCGGACGGGUGAGUAACACGUGGGAACGUGCCUUUAGGUUCGGAAUAACUCAGGGAAACUUGUGCUAAUACCGAAUGUGCUCUUCGGGGGAAAGAUUAAUCGCCUUUAGAGCGGCCCGCGUCUGAUUAGCUAGUUGGUUGAGGUAAUGGCUCACCAAGGCGACGAUCAGUAGCUGGUCUGAGAGGAUGAUCAGCCACAUUGGGACUGAGACACGGCCCAAACUCCUACGGGAAGCAGCAGUGGGGAAUCUUGCGCAAUGGGCGAAAGCCUGACGCAGCCAUGCCGCGUGAAUGAUGAAGGUCUUAGGAUUGUAAAAUUCUUUCACCGGGGACGAUAAUGACGGUACCCGGAGAAGAAGCCCCGGCUAACUUCGUG
RNAcentral lists this ribosomal RNA (434 nucleotides) under uncultured bacterium. RNAcentral describes it as "partial 16S ribosomal RNA". It matches the Rfam family "Bacterial small subunit ribosomal RNA", at positions 29 to 507 of the family's 1533-position model. The record is from RNAcentral.